Molecule: ribosomal RNA, 427 nt
Filed under: uncultured bacterium
Lineage: Bacteria
Description: partial 16S ribosomal RNA
Rfam family: Bacterial small subunit ribosomal RNA
Source: RNAcentral
UGGGGAAUAUUGGACAAUGGGCGAAAGCCUGAUCCAGCCAUGCCGCGUGUGUGAAGAAGGUCUUCGGAUUGUAAAGCACUUUAAGUUGGGAGGAAGGGCAGUAAGCUAAUACCUUGCUGUUUUGACGUUACCGACAGAAUAAGCACCGGCUAACUCUGUGCCAGCAGCCGCGGUAAUACAGAGGGUGCAAGCGUUAAUCGGAAUUACUGGGCGUAAAGCGCGCGUAGGUGGUAUGUUAAGUUGGAUGUGAAAGCCCCGGGCUCAACCUGGGAACUGCAUCCAAAACUGGCAAGCUAGAGUACGGUAGAGGGUGGUGGAAUUUCCUGUGUAGCGGUGAAAUGCGUAGAUAUAGGAAGGAACACCAGUGGCGAAGGCGACCACCUGGACUGAUACUGACACUGAGGUGCGAAAGCGUGGGGAGCAAACA